RNAcentral lists this long non-coding RNA (914 nucleotides) under Homo sapiens (human). Its description in RNAcentral is "HSALNT0063067". The record is from RNAcentral. Lineage: Eukaryota; Metazoa; Chordata; Mammalia; Primates; Hominidae.
ACGCACAUACACAAGCCCAUGUGGGAGCCCGAGUGACGUGUGCUCGGUGGUCAUGCACCAUCAUUUCCCUUCCACCUUCCUCCUCGCCGCUUCCUCUCCCUCCACCGCGCAGCUCCAGCCGCCUUGCCGCCGCCGCAUCCCCUUCCAAGUUCAGGCUGUGGGUGGAACCUGUUGCUUUAGCUCACGUUUCCCUUCCCCUCCGGGCUGCACGCUGAGGAUGACCUCAGCGAGGUUUGGCUUCCUUGAGACAGAGGAUCUUGCUCGCCUCAAAGAGGAGGGCAGUUUGCCCCCUUCCUCCUGACUCCAAGACAAAAGAGAGAAGACUGAAGAGUGGUAAAGCUUGUGGUGGAAGAGGUCAAAGGAAUAUCUUUAAAAGGGAUCCAGGGCCUCUCAGAGUUCACCUGAGCUUUCCCAAGUCUGGUUUGUUCUCUCUACCCUGCUGCUACUACUGCAAGUGACUUUCACAAGAUGCUUCUGAGCAUAGCAUUGCUCUGCUGUGACCACUGCAGAUGUCAAGAGAAUUUCUGCCUUUUGGAACUUGGACAAUAUUGGCCACCUACCCAGAGAGAGGAGAAGGAUAAUCCAGACAUAAAGGUAGCUCCCACACAUCCUUUGGAUCUCUGAUAAAGAGUCAUAUACUUAAAGAGCCAUCCUCACAUUCCUGCCCAGGUAUACCCCAAAUAAAAGUUAUCAUAGCACUGUGCAUUCCUCCUUUGUAACACUUGCCACCAUUGAAAUUUUAUUUGCUUGUGUGAUUAUUUUGUCUACCUUCUCUCCUCUAGACUGUGAGCUGCAUGAGAGAGGCCAUGUCUCAUUUUGUUCCAUUACAUCUCCAGCACUUAAGAGUGCUGGACACAUAACGAGUGUCUGACACAUAACGAGUGCUGAAUAAAUGUUUGUUAACUGAUAAAAUG